RNAcentral lists this ribosomal RNA (274 nucleotides) under uncultured bacterium. RNAcentral describes it as "partial 16S ribosomal RNA". It matches the Rfam family "Bacterial small subunit ribosomal RNA", at positions 523 to 796 of the family's 1533-position model. The record is from RNAcentral.
AUACGGAGGGUGCAAGCGUUGUCCGGAUUUAUUGGGUUUAAAGGGUGCGUAGGUGGCGUGUUAAGUCAGUGGUGAAAGCCUGCAGCUCAACUGUAGAGGUGCCAUUGAUACUGACAUGCUUGAGUAUGGAUGAGGUAGGCGGAAUUUGUGGUGUAGCGGUGAAAUGCAUAGAUACCACAAAGAAGACCGAUAGCGAAGGCAGCUUACUGGACCAUAACUGACACUGAGGCACGAAAGUGUGGGUAGCGAACAGGAUUAGAAACCCUAGUAGUCC